UCACCAAUCAAGCCUGGCUUGUCGUUGGACCUCUAGUCUAUCAAAAAAGACGGGUCCGAAAGAUAAUGGCGGCGUCCGUGGGACCCUGGAUACAACGAGCUUUGAUAAGCACGUAUCAUAGUGGCCCGGUGACGCGGUCUUGCAGUACAAUCUAUCUCAAGGUUGACCUCGGAUCAGGUAGGAAUACCCGCUGAACUUAA
RNAcentral lists this unclassified non-coding RNA (200 nucleotides) under soil metagenome. Its description in RNAcentral is "partial contains internal transcribed spacer 2 and large subunit ribosomal RNA". The record is from RNAcentral.